UACGGGGGGGGCAAGCGUUGUUCGGAAUUACUGGGCGUAAAGGGCUCGUAGGCGGCCAACUAAGUCAUACGUGAAAUCCCCCGGCUUAACCGGGGAACUGCGUCUGAUACUGGAUGGCUUGAGUUCGGGAGAGGGAUGCGGAAUUCCAGGUGUAGCGGUGAAAUGCGUAGAUAUCUGGAGGAACACCGGUGGCGAAGGCGGCAUCCUGGACCAAUUCUGACGCUGAGGAGCGAAAGCCAGGGGAGCAAACGGG
Molecule: ribosomal RNA, 253 nt
Filed under: uncultured bacterium
Lineage: Bacteria
Description: partial 16S ribosomal RNA
Rfam family: Bacterial small subunit ribosomal RNA
Source: RNAcentral